UACUGUUCUCCUAUCUUCAGGAGAUUGGAGAAAAACUAUCAUAAAUCGGAGGCAGGUUGUUGCUUGGCAAAGAACUCGUACAUGUUGUAAGAAAAUCAAGGGAGGAUCCAGCCAUUCAGCGUCCAGAGGAGGUGGAGCAGCAAGCCAACAUCCAUCUUCACCUCCCACCUAGCGGCUGGACUGCCCCUUGCAGCGAACAUGGUACCUUGCAAAACUAUUUGCGUUUUUUGCCGUUCGCGUUGCGUGGCCGCUUCGUUUGCUUGCACUGUGCUCCGAUCUAGUGAAGGGCGCCAAGGAGAAGCAGCUCAAGGUCAAGGGCCCCGCCAGGAUGCCCACCAAGGUGCUCAACAUCACCACCAGGAAGGCCCCCUGUGGAGAAGGUAGUCGCCUACCACUCAUGUGAUCUAGAAUAACAUUAUGUAAAACAAUCUAACGAGCUAUGGGUCCAGCUAAAUGUUGAACCAUCUAUUCCUUCAUCUUCUUAAUUAGUGAGUGGGGCAAAUCUUUUACUUCGAUUAAAAAAUAGUCAGGUUCAGAAAAUUUGCAUGCAGCAGCAGCAUGUAGUGCAUGCAUUAGUCGUAUCAAAUCCUGUCAAGUAAUAUUAGUAGUUUCAUUCAGAAAAAUGGACUGCAGAAAGCAGUAGAUUCUUUGGUACAAGAUAAGUGAAUAUCAUAAUUCCUCUCGCCGUUAGGCCAUUGCUGUGAAAUAGGAUAACUAAAUGUGUUGAACAACCAUCUCUUGAGCGCAUUGGAACAAGAGUAAAGUGUUCAACUAAAACUGUUGACAAAAAA
Molecule: long non-coding RNA, 791 nt
Organism: Hordeum vulgare subsp. vulgare (domesticated barley)
Lineage: Eukaryota; Viridiplantae; Streptophyta; Magnoliopsida; Poales; Poaceae
Exons: 3
Source: RefSeq, a predicted model, not a curated record